RNAcentral lists this ribosomal RNA (478 nucleotides) under uncultured bacterium. Its description in RNAcentral is "partial 16S ribosomal RNA". It matches the Rfam family "Bacterial small subunit ribosomal RNA", at positions 28 to 507 of the family's 1533-position model. The record is from RNAcentral.
GAUUAACGCUGGCGGCGUGCCUAACACAUGCAAGUCGAACGAUGAAACUCAUUAGAUUUCUUCGGAAUGAAAAUGAAUGGAUUAGUGGCGAACGGGUGAGUAACGCGUGAGUAACCUGCCUUACACAAGGGGAUAGCCUCUGGAAACGGAGAAUAAUACCCUAUGACACCAGACAAUCGCAUGAUAAUCUGGUCAAAAUGUUUAGUGGUGUAAGAUGGACUUGCGUCUGAUUAGCUAGUUGGUGAGAUAAAAGCUCACCAAGGCAACGAUCAGUAGCCGGCUUGAGAGAGUGUACGGCCACAUUGGGACUGAGACACGGCCCAGACUCCUACGGGAGGCAGCAGUGGGGAAUUUUGCACAAUGGGGGAAACCCUGAUGCAGCGACGCCGCGUGAUUUAGAAGGCCUUCGGGUUGUAAAAAUCUUUUGUAUAGGAAGAAAAUGACAGUACUAUACGAAUAAGGUCCGGCUAAUUACGUG